RNAcentral lists this long non-coding RNA (335 nucleotides) under Nicotiana tabacum (common tobacco). Its description in RNAcentral is "long non-coding RNA (NTAB_LNC005335)". Lineage: Eukaryota; Viridiplantae; Streptophyta; Magnoliopsida; Solanales; Solanaceae. The record is from RNAcentral.
CGUCAUUGUAUUGUAAUGAAUCUGGCCUUUGACUGACAAUGUCUUCACAAUCAUAACUAAGCUGGCACGCAUCAUAGUCUCUUGAUGGGUGGAAAGAAGACGAAUGCCUCUGGUGAAAUGGAUUCCCGGAGACUUCUGAAGGUGAUGUGUUUAGAAGUUCUUCUGAAGGUGAUGUGUUUAGAAGUUCUUCUGAAGGUGAAGGAGAGUCGAGCAAAUACUUGGGAUCAUAACUGUCUGUGCUGCUAGACUCGGUUGCAUACAUAAUUCCAUGUGCAUUUUUGGUGAACAUGGAUGUUGACAAGCCAGAGUUGUCCUUGUGAUCAUUUGGAAAGUAG